RNAcentral lists this long non-coding RNA (356 nucleotides) under Penaeus japonicus. RNAcentral's name for it is "uncharacterized LOC122244343". Lineage: Eukaryota; Metazoa; Arthropoda; Malacostraca; Decapoda; Penaeidae. The record is from RNAcentral.
UCAAGCUCUAACCACCUCACUUAGCUCCGAUCUCCGCACCACCUCACCUCCUAUUAUUAUUGCAAACCCUUGUCAACACCUGCAAGUGAUUGCUGACCCCGACUUUACGAUCUGUCGUGGUUGAGCUGGUGGCUACUAUUCUUUAUAUUAAUUUCUGCAAUUGAGAGUAUUGAAUAUUGAAAGAGGGCUGCCCAUCUAUACUCUUCGAUAUUACUGAAAACUCGCGCAAGAUUGCGCUGUCCACAGAAGCGCUCUUUCGCCACUCUCAUUGGAACUAUGCCCCGAUUAUUGUAUCGCAUUUUAUUUUAUUUUUGUAUGUUGUAUAUAUUUGUGAAUAUAUGUUUAUAGUGCAAAUA